RNAcentral lists this long non-coding RNA (473 nucleotides) under Homo sapiens (human). Its description in RNAcentral is "HSALNT0022414". The record is from RNAcentral. Lineage: Eukaryota; Metazoa; Chordata; Mammalia; Primates; Hominidae.
CCUUGAUGGUGAGGUUUGAAGGACAGUAUGAGUUUAGUGCCUCACAACUGCUGUGUUCUCCCUCUCCCAGCACCUAGAGAAGCUCUCUGCAUCACACCUCUGCUGCCAGGGUGGGGUAGGGGUGGCAUCAGCCAUUCAGGAGUGUAUUUUCUAUUUAUUCAGCACCUCUUUCAGUGAUACGAAGUCAUAACCAGACAGAGCACAGUGGGGAUAGCUCAUCUCUACUCCGCAAUUUCCAGGCAUGAGCUAGGAUGGCUGACCAGUAACAGCUGGCUGGGACAAUUUAACAGAAGCCAUAUGGGUAAGUUCUCAUUAUUCUCUGACUUCUUUGGUUCUCCUCCAUGUGGUGCUUCCUUCAGCUAGCUUGUGCUUCCUCACAAUAUGGUGAUUCCAAGGGAGCGGAACUUAUAUGUCAGCUGAUUUUUCAGAGAUAUAACAUGUAACCUGCUAGUCUUCUUUAGGUUUGAGCUCAG